ACGUGAGAAUUUACCCUAAGGAGGGGGACAACAACUGGAAACGGUUGCUAAUACCCCAUAUGCUUUCGAGUGAAAAAGAUUUAUCUGCCUUAGGAAAAGCUCGCGGCUGAUUAGCUAGUUGGUAAGGUAAUGGCUUACCAAGGCGACGAUCAGUAUCUGGUUUGAGAGGACGAUCAGACACACUGGAACUGAGACACGGCCCAAACUCCUACGGGAGGCAGCAGUGGGGAAUCAUGCACAAAUGGAGGAAACUCUGAUGCAGCGAUGCCGCGUGAGUGAAGAAGGCCUUUGGGUUGUAAA
This 300-nucleotide ribosomal RNA is filed under the name uncultured bacterium. RNAcentral describes it as "bacterial SSU rRNA". It matches the Rfam family "Bacterial small subunit ribosomal RNA", at positions 115 to 429 of the family's 1533-position model. The record is from RNAcentral.